CUCGUAGGUGGCCAACUAAGUCAGACGUGAAAUCCCUCGGCUUAACCGGGGAACUGCGUCUGAUACUGGAUGGCUUGAGUUUGGGAGAGGGAUGCGGAAUUCCAGGUGUAGCGGUGAAAUGCGUAGAUAUCUGGAGGAACACCGGUGGCGAAGGCGGCGUCCUGGACCAACACUGACACUGAGGAGCGAAAGCCAGGGAGCAAACG
RNAcentral lists this ribosomal RNA (206 nucleotides) under uncultured bacterium. Its description in RNAcentral is "partial 16S ribosomal RNA". It matches the Rfam family "Bacterial small subunit ribosomal RNA", at positions 568 to 774 of the family's 1533-position model. The record is from RNAcentral.